Molecule: non-coding RNA, 86 nt
Organism: Podarcis lilfordi (Lilford's wall lizard)
Lineage: Eukaryota; Metazoa; Chordata; Lepidosauria; Squamata; Lacertidae
Source: the annotation of a GenBank genome assembly
UAAGCUUGUUCUGGGUAUAAGCUUUUGUGUGCAUGCACACUUCUUCAGAUGCAUGCACACAAAAGCUUAUACCCAGAACAAGUUGU